RNAcentral lists this ribosomal RNA (81 nucleotides) under Paenibacillus borealis. Its description in RNAcentral is "partial 23S ribosomal RNA". It matches the Rfam family "Bacterial large subunit ribosomal RNA", at positions 2848 to 2925 of the family's 2925-position model. The record is from RNAcentral. Lineage: Bacteria; Bacillati; Bacillota; Bacilli; Caryophanales; Paenibacillaceae.
CGAGGUAGAUAGGUUGGAGGUGGAAGUGCAGCAAUGCAUGGAGCUGACCAAUACUAAUCGGUCGAGGGCUUAUCCAAAAAC